This 531-nucleotide ribosomal RNA is filed under the name Hyperolius camerunensis. RNAcentral describes it as "partial large subunit ribosomal RNA". It matches the Rfam family "Bacterial large subunit ribosomal RNA", at positions 1919 to 2620 of the family's 2925-position model. The record is from RNAcentral. Lineage: Eukaryota; Metazoa; Chordata; Amphibia; Anura; Hyperoliidae.
UUAAUUUAACGGCCGCGGUAUCUUGACCGUGCAAAGGUAGCAAAUCAAUUAUCCCCUAAAUAGGGACCAGUAUGAACGGCAUCACGAGGGUUUGACUGUCUCCCUACUCUAAUUAAUAAAAUUGAUCUUCCCGUGAAGAAGCGGGAAUGUAAAUAUAAGACGAAAAGACCCCAUGGAGCUUUAAACUUAUUAUCAUCUAUCAAAAAUUUUAAAACAAACACUGAUAAAUAUGAUAGAUAGUUUUCGGUUGGGGCGACCCUGGAGAAAAACUAAUCCUCCAAGCUGUAAGAUUAAAUUCUAAUGUUAGAGUAACAACUCAAACAAUCAAAACCUUGACAAAAUGACCCAGAAUAUAUCUGAUCAACGAACCAAGUUACCCUGGGGAUAACAGCGCAAUCCAUUUCAAGAGCCCCUAUCGACAAAUGGGUUUACGACCUCGAUGUUGGAUCGGGGUGUCCUAGCAACGCAGCCGCUGCUAAAGGUUCGUUUGUUCAACGAUUAAUAUCCCACGUGAUCUGAGUUCAGACCGGA